AGAUUGAACGCUGGCGGCAGGCCUAACACAUGCAAGUCGAGCGGCAGCGGGAAGAUAGUUUACUAUCUUUGCCGGCGAGCGGCGGACGGGUGAGUAAUGCCUAGGGAUCUGCCCAGUCGAGGGGGAUAACAGUUGGAAACGACUGCUAAUACCGCAUACGCCCUACGGGGGAAAGGAGGGGACCUUCGGGCCUUCCGCGAUUGGAUGAACCUAGGUGGGAUUAGCUAGUUGGUGAGGUAAUGGCUCACCAAGGCGACGAUCCCUAGCUGUUCUGAGAGGAUGAUCAGCCACACUGGGACUGAGACACGGCCCAGACUCCUACGGGAGGCAGCAGUGGGGAAUAUUGCACAAUGGGGGAAACCCUGAUGCAGCCAUGCCGCGUGUGUGAAGAAGGCCUUCGGGUUGUAAAGCACUUUCAGUAGGGAGGAAAGGUARUARUUUAAUACGCUAUURCUGUGACGUUACCUACAGAAGAAGGACCGGC
This 484-nucleotide ribosomal RNA is filed under the name Shewanella baltica. Its description in RNAcentral is "bacterial SSU rRNA". It matches the Rfam family "Bacterial small subunit ribosomal RNA", at positions 26 to 497 of the family's 1533-position model. The record is from RNAcentral. Lineage: Bacteria; Pseudomonadati; Pseudomonadota; Gammaproteobacteria; Alteromonadales; Shewanellaceae.